AUUAAAGCUAACAAUGUGUAUCACUUUUAGUUUCUAAUAGAUAUUUUAACAGCACCAGUAAUAUCAAAUUCUAAUUCUAAUUUAAAGAAUGAUGAAAAACAAACAUGUGUAUCGUGAGAAAUUGAAUUUAUAAACUCAGCGAAAGGACUGAUCUCAUCUUCGUUUCCUUGGUAUACAACCUUUUCACAACAGUCUACGACUGAUUAAUGCUUCUUGUUCGACCGUUAUCAAUCGUUUACGUGGUAAUUAAUGCGAGAUAAGAAAACUUCAUAUUUCUUUGUUGAAAGAGGUGCUCGAUGCAACGUGUGGUAGUUUCUCACCUUGAUUUUCUUUUCUAAGAAUACACCAAGGACUUUCGUAUGGCUGCGUGAUAAUGAAAUCUACCACGAAUUGCCAAUGUGUCGAUGAUGAAAUCCGUGACAUUCUCUCACGGCCUUGAGUCGGGACCAGCAUACUUUAUAAAUAUUACCGUUACAAUUCGCAAUGAUUCUCUGUCCUCUAUUUCUCCAUACAAAAUUGUUGCAAAUGCAAGUCAAAGAAAAUUCUACACCCCAUUAAGGAAUACUAAACAGUCAGUUCCAUGAAUAUACACCCUCUGUAUCUAUUCAAGAAAUCUAAUUGUAAAUUAAAUCACAGAAUACAUGAAUUAUUUUUCUACAUUUGAACUGACCGUACGUUUCACUUUACAUAAACGUUGUAAAAGUUGAAAUUUACUUUUAACAGAUGAAAUUAUUAAUUAAAUAUUCGCAACAUGAUUAGUAGAUUGAAAAGUUGCUACAUUCUUACCGAAUAUCGAUUAAAAAUUAAUUAUUAUAAAAUUUUUAAUACAUAUAUGACACAAAGAGCUACGUUUGAAUAUAUAAUUUUAAAGAUUAAAGGACAAAAUCAAUUCCACUCUCUAUACUGAAAAUGAACACACGUUUUCAAUUCUACGAUAUAAAUCAUUCACCUCGACUCGCUAACAGUAUCGCAAAGAAACUGAACGGAGAACAAAGCGGAUAUUUAUUCACAGGAUUAUCUCUUCAGCGACGCAAUACCAUGAAACGUAAUUGUAAAAGCAGAAUGACAGGUACGUUUACGUAACAGAAUGCAAUUUCAUUGGUAAAAGAAAGAAAAAAAAAAUUAGGCGCAGCCUGAAUUUACACGACUAAAUGCAAUCGAGCGCAACCUCGUCGACUCGAAAAUAAAUGCAGUUCCCAUUAGCCGUCGGCGACCUAAUUUUCUUCGGUUACCGUUUGUGCGCGUGUACUCGUCGAUCAAUGAACCCAAGAAUCAUUACCUAACGCCGCCAUUUGCAUUUACCAACAUUGAUAAUGAUGGCUCCGGACGUUUUGCGUUGCAAUACGGUCGAAUUAAGUAAACAUCGCAUUUCUAUCCAUUAUGUAUUUAGUUCCCCCAUUUUCUCCGUUAAUCUACUUAUUCUUUAUUACCACAGCUUACUUUUUAAUUAUACUCUUGAAGAAAAAAAAGGAGGUUGUUUUUUUAUAUAUUUUUAUUUCCUCAAUAGAUGUACAGGAGUGUUCGAAUACAUAUGGGACUGUCUGUAAUUAAUUUUCGCGACGUUUUCAUUUGAUCAUAUUUGCUACCAAUUCAUGUUUAUUCGUAACAACUAACGAAAAAUUGAUCUCUUGCGGGAAUCGAUAAAAAAAAAAACAA
Hylaeus anthracinus is the source of this 1656-nucleotide long non-coding RNA. RefSeq lists it as uncharacterized. The record is from RefSeq and is a predicted model, not a curated record. The transcript is spliced from 2 exons. NCBI's taxonomy places the organism in Eukaryota, Metazoa, Arthropoda, Insecta, Hymenoptera, Colletidae.